CCUACGGGAGGCAGCAGUGGGGAACAUUGCGCAAUGGGGGAAACCCUGACGCAGCAACGCCGCGUGAGUGAGGAAGGACUUCGGUCUGUAAAGCUCUGUUAAUGUGGAAAAAUGGUAGCUGGUCUAAUAGGCCGGCUAUUUGAUGGUACACAUAGAGGAAGCACCGGCUAACUUCGUGCCAGCAGCCGCGGUAAUACGAAGGGUGCAAGCGUUGUUCGGAUUUAUUGGGCGUAAAGCGCGCGUAGGCGGACCUGCAAGUCAGAUGUGAAAUCUCGGGGCUCAACCUCGAAACUGCGUCUGAAACUACAGGUCUAGAAUCUCGGAGGGGGAAGGGGAAUUUCGCAUGUAGGGGUAAAAUCCGUAGAUAUGCGAAGGAACACCAGAGGCGAAGGCGCCUUCCUGGACGAGUAUUGACGCUGAGGCGCGAAAGCGUGGGGAUCAAACAGGAUUAGAUACCCUGGUAGUCCACGCUGUAAACUAUGAACACUAGGUAUUGGAGGAUUUGACCCCUUCAGUGCCGUAGCUAACGCGUUAAGUGUUCCGCCUGGGAAGUACGGUCGCAAGACUAAAACUCAAAUGAAUUGACGG
RNAcentral lists this ribosomal RNA (588 nucleotides) under uncultured bacterium. RNAcentral's name for it is "bacterial SSU rRNA". It matches the Rfam family "Bacterial small subunit ribosomal RNA", at positions 338 to 916 of the family's 1533-position model. The record is from RNAcentral.